CUCAAUGGUGGUGCGUAAUGGGAAAGGUUUGCCCUUUGCCGUCUUCAUUGCUGGACGGUUUUCGAGCCCGUUACGCACUACCGCCCAA
This 88-nucleotide non-coding RNA is filed under the name Muribacter muris. The record is from RNAcentral. Lineage: Bacteria; Pseudomonadati; Pseudomonadota; Gammaproteobacteria; Pasteurellales; Pasteurellaceae.